This 409-nucleotide ribosomal RNA is filed under the name Haemophilus influenzae. RNAcentral describes it as "bacterial SSU rRNA". It matches the Rfam family "Bacterial small subunit ribosomal RNA", at positions 1 to 402 of the family's 1533-position model. The record is from RNAcentral. Lineage: Bacteria; Pseudomonadati; Pseudomonadota; Gammaproteobacteria; Pasteurellales; Pasteurellaceae.
ACUUGAAUUGAAGAGUUUGAUCAUGGCUCAGAUUGAACGCUGGCGGCAGGCUUAACACAUGCAAGUCGAACGGUAGCAGGAGAAAGCUUGCUUUCUUGCUGACGAGUGGCGGACGGGUGAGUAAUGCUUGGGAAUCUGGCUUAUGGAGGGGGAUAACGACGGGAAACUGUCGCUAAUACCGCGUAUUAUCGGAAGAUGAAAGUGCGGGACUGAGAGGCCGCAUGCCAUAGGAUGAGCCCAAGUGGGAUUAGGUAGUUGGUGGGGUAAAUGCCUACCAAGCCUGCGAUCUCUAGCUGGUCUGAGAGGAUGACCAGCCACACUGGAACUGAGACACGGUCCAGACUCCUACGGGAGGCAGCAGUGGGGAAUAUUGCGCAAUGGGGGGAACCCUGACGCAGCCAUGCCGCGU